Molecule: ribosomal RNA, 224 nt
Filed under: Salmonella enterica subsp. enterica serovar Derby
Lineage: Bacteria; Pseudomonadati; Pseudomonadota; Gammaproteobacteria; Enterobacterales; Enterobacteriaceae
Also listed under: 6 other names
Description: partial 16S ribosomal RNA
Rfam family: Bacterial small subunit ribosomal RNA
Source: RNAcentral
AAAUUGAAGAGUUUGAUCAUGGCUCAGAUUGAACGCUGGCGGCAGGCCUAACACAUGCAAGUCGAACGGUAACAGGAAGCAGCUUGCUGCUUCGCUGACGAGUGGCGGACGGGUGAGUAAUGUCUGGGAAACUGCCUGAUGGAGGGGGAUAACUACUGGAAACGGUGGCUAAUACCGCAUAACGUCGCAAGACCAAAGAGGGGGACCUUCGGGCCUCUUGCCAU